UACGGAGGGUGCAAGCGUUAUCCGGAUUUACUGGGUUUAAAGGGUGCGUAGGUUGCAAUAUAAGUCAGUGGUGAAAGGUCGUAGCCUAACUACGGAUGUGCCAUUGAUACUGUAUAGCUAGAGUUGACACGAGGUACUUGGAAUGCGUCAUGUAGCGGUGAAAUGCUUAGAGAUGACGUAGAACACCAAUAGCGAAGGCAGAGUACCAGUGUACGACUGACACUGAGGCACGAAAGCGUGGGGAGCGAACAGG
Molecule: ribosomal RNA, 253 nt
Filed under: uncultured bacterium
Lineage: Bacteria
Description: partial 16S ribosomal RNA
Rfam family: Bacterial small subunit ribosomal RNA
Source: RNAcentral